AAUCAACGCUGGCGGCGUGCCUCAGACAUGCAAGUCGAACGAUUAAAGCUCUCUUCGGAGAGUGUAUAGAGUGGCGCACGGGUGAGUAACACGUAAGUAAUCUACCUUCGAGUGGGGAAGUAACGUUCGGAACGGACGCUAAUACCGCAUAAUGCAGCGGCAUCGCAAGAUGACAGUUGUUAAAGAUUUAUCGCUUGAGGAGGAGCUUGCGGCAGAUUAG
Molecule: ribosomal RNA, 220 nt
Filed under: uncultured bacterium
Lineage: Bacteria
Description: partial 16S ribosomal RNA
Rfam family: Bacterial small subunit ribosomal RNA
Source: RNAcentral